CGCCGCGUGAGUGAUGAAGGCCUUCGGGUUGUAAAGCUCUGUGGGGCGAGACGAAUAAGUGCAGCCUAAUACGCUGCGCGAUGACGGUAUCGCCUUAGCAAGCACCGGCUAACUCUGUGCCAGCAGCCGCGGUAAGACAGAGGGUGCAAACGUUGUUCGGAAUUACUGGGCGUAAAGCGAGUGUAGGCGGUUUCCUAAGUCGGGUGUGAAAGCCCCGGGCUCAACCCGGGAAGUGCACUCGAAACUGGGAGGCUAGAGUAUCGGAGAGGUUGGUGGAAUUCUCGGUGUAGAGGUGAAAUUCGUAGAUAUCGAGAGGAACACCGGUGGCGAAGGCGGCCAACUGGACGAAUACUGACGCUGAGACUCGAAAGCGUGGGGAGCAAGCAGGAUUAGAUACCCUGGUAGUCCACGCCGUAAACGAUGGGUGCUAGGUGCUGCGGGCUUUGACUCCCGCGGUGCCGUAGCUAACGCAUUAAGCACCCCGCCUGGGAAGUACGGCCGCAAGGCUA
Molecule: ribosomal RNA, 509 nt
Filed under: uncultured Pseudomonadota bacterium
Lineage: Bacteria; Pseudomonadati; Pseudomonadota
Description: bacterial SSU rRNA
Rfam family: Bacterial small subunit ribosomal RNA
Source: RNAcentral